UAGGGAAUAUUGGUUAAUGUGCGAAAGCGCGAACCAGCAACGCCGCGUGCACGAUGAAGGCCUUCGGGUUGUAAAGUGCUUUUUGAGGGGAUGAGGAAGGACAGUACCCUCAGAAUAAGUCUCGGCCAACUACGUGCCAGCAGCCGCGGUAACACGUAGGAGACGAGCGUUAUCCGGAUUUACUGGGCGUAAGGCGCGUGCAGGCGGUUCAGCAAGUUGGAUGUGAAAGCUCCCGGCUUAACUGGGAGAGGUCGUUCAAAACUACUGAGCUUGAGAGUGGUAGAGGGAGGUGGAAUUCCGGGUGUAGUGGUGAAAUGCGUAGAUAUCCGGAGGAACACCAGUGGCGAAAGCGGCCUCCUGGACCAUUUCUGACGCUCAGACGCGAGAGCUAGGGUAGCG
This 399-nucleotide ribosomal RNA is filed under the name uncultured bacterium. RNAcentral describes it as "bacterial SSU rRNA". It matches the Rfam family "Bacterial small subunit ribosomal RNA", at positions 355 to 770 of the family's 1533-position model. The record is from RNAcentral.